UGAGCUAUACCUAAGGCUACUUGUUCUGGU
This 30-nucleotide non-coding RNA is filed under the name Mus musculus (house mouse). Lineage: Eukaryota; Metazoa; Chordata; Mammalia; Rodentia; Muridae. The record is from RNAcentral.